RNAcentral lists this ribosomal RNA (366 nucleotides) under uncultured bacterium. RNAcentral's name for it is "bacterial SSU rRNA". It matches the Rfam family "Bacterial small subunit ribosomal RNA", at positions 438 to 793 of the family's 1533-position model. The record is from RNAcentral.
AGCAGUGUAGGAAGGUGGGUAUGUUAAUAGCAUAUUCAUUUGACGUUUAGCUGCAGAAGAAGCACCGGCUAACUCCGUGCCAGCAGCCGCGGUAAUACGGAGGGUGCGAGCGUUAAUCGGAAUUACUGGGCGUAAAGCGCAUGCAGGUGGUUUGUUAAGUCAGAUGUGAAAGCCCGGGGCUCAACCUCGGAAUUGCAUUUGAAACUGGCAAACUAGAGUACUGUAGAGGGGGUAGGAAUUUCAGGUGUAGCGGUGAAAUGCGUAGAGAUCUGAAGGAAUACCGGUGGCGAAGGCGGCCCCCUGGACAGAUACUGACACUCAGAUGCGAAAGCGUGGGGAGCAAACAGGAUUAGAUACCCUCGGUAG